Molecule: transfer RNA, 73 nt
Filed under: Spodiopsar sericeus (red-billed starling)
Lineage: Eukaryota; Metazoa; Chordata; Aves; Passeriformes; Sturnidae
Description: tRNA-Asn
Source: RNAcentral
UAGAUAGAAGCCAGUUGGUUCGGGCAUAUAGCUGUUAACUAUAUAAUCGUGGGGUCGAAGCCCACCUGUCUAG